This 593-nucleotide ribosomal RNA is filed under the name uncultured bacterium. RNAcentral describes it as "bacterial SSU rRNA". It matches the Rfam family "Bacterial small subunit ribosomal RNA", at positions 302 to 911 of the family's 1533-position model. The record is from RNAcentral.
GCACGGACACACUGGAACUGAAACACGGUCCAGACUCCUACGGGAGGCAGCAGUGGGGAAUUUUGCGCAAUGGGGGAAACCCUGACGCAGCAACGCCGCGUGGAGGAUGAAAUCCCUUGGGAUGUAAACUCCUUUCGAUAGGGAAGAUAAUGACGGUACCUAUAGAAGAAGCCCCGGCUAACUUCGUGCCAGCAGCCGCGGUAAUACGAGGGGGGCAAGCGUUGUUCGGAUUUAUUGGGCGUAAAGGGUGCGUAGGCGGUUUGGCAAGUCUUGUGUGAAAUCUUUGGGCUCAACCCAAAGUCUGCAUAAGAAACUGCCGGGCUUGAGUAUGGGAGAGGUGAGUGGAAUUUCCGGUGUAGCGGUGAAAUGCGUAGAUAUCGGAAGGAACACCUGUGGCGAAAGCGGCUCACUGGACCAUUACUGACGCUGAGGCACGAAAGCUAGGGGAGCAAACAGGAUUAGAUACCCUGGUAGUCCUAGCCCUAAACGAUGAUUGUUUGAUGUGGCAGGUACCCAAUCCUGCCGUGUCGAAGCUAACGCGAUAAACAAUCCGCCUGGGGAGUACGGUCGCAAGGCUGAAACUCAAAGGAAUG